GAUGAACGCUGGCGGCGUGCCUAAUACAUGCAAGUCGAGCGAACGGACGAGAAGCUUGCUUCUCUGAUGUUAGCGGCGGACGGGUGAGUAACACGUGGAUAACCUACCUAUAAGACUGGGAUAACUUCGGGAAACCGGAGCUAAUACCGGAUAAUAUUUUGAACCGCAUGGUUCAAAAGUGAAAGACGGUCUUGCUGUCACUUAUAGAUGGAUCCGCGCUGCAUUAGCUAGUUGGUAAGGUAACGGCUUACCAAGGCAACGAUGCAUAGCCGACCUGAGAGGGUGAUCGGCCACACUGGAACUGAGACACGGUCCCGACUCCUACGGGAGGCAGCAGUAGGGAAUCUUCCGCAAUGGGCGAAAGCCUGACGGAGCAACGCCGCGUGAGUGAUGAAGGUCUUCGGAUCGGAAAACUCUGUUAUUAGGGAAGAACAUAUGUGUAAGUAACUGUGCACAUCUUGACGGUACCUAAUCAGAAAGCCACGGCUAACUACGUG
This 497-nucleotide ribosomal RNA is filed under the name uncultured bacterium. RNAcentral's name for it is "partial 16S ribosomal RNA". It matches the Rfam family "Bacterial small subunit ribosomal RNA", at positions 28 to 507 of the family's 1533-position model. The record is from RNAcentral.